CAAAAUCUCAACUUUAUUAGAAGAGACGCAUUUAUUAGAUAAAAAGCCAAUGCAUGCUUUUACAGUAUGGAAAUUGGUGAUUUAUAAUAACUUGGCAAAUCGCAAAGUGAAAACAGGCGAUAAAUCAUUCAAGUUUCUGACCUAUCAGCUUUCGACGGUAUGGUAUUGGCUUACCGUGGCAGUGACGGUUAACGGGGGAUUAGGGUUCGAUUCCGGAGGGGGAGCCUGAGAAACGGCUACCACAUCUAAGGAAGGCAGCAGGCGCGCAAAUUACCCAAUUCUAACAGUUUGAGAGAGGUAGUAACAAGAAAUAACAAUACAAGGCAAUUAAAAUGUUUUGUAAUUGGAAUGAUAGAAAUUUAAACCCUUUUUAAAGUAUCAAUUGGAGGGCAAGUCUGGUGCCAGCAGCCGCGGUAAUUCCAGCUCCAAUAGCGUAUAUUAAAAUUGUUGCAGUUAAAAAGCUCGUAGUUGAAGUUCUGCUAAAAGUAACCGGUCUGCUUUUAAUAAAAGUGGUAUCUUGGUGUGUAUUUAGCAAUGAUGUCCUUUGAAGUGUUUUUUACUUUAUUGUAAUAAAGCAUAUUCAGGACUUUUACUUUGAGAAAAUUAGAGUGUUUCUAGCAGGCCGACGCUUUGAAUACUGCAGCAUGGAAAUAAUA
Molecule: ribosomal RNA, 656 nt
Filed under: Hepatozoon canis
Lineage: Eukaryota; Apicomplexa; Hepatozoidae
Description: SSU rRNA
Rfam family: Eukaryotic small subunit ribosomal RNA
Source: RNAcentral